UACAUCGGGGUCAAGAGAUCAUGC
RNAcentral lists this non-coding RNA (24 nucleotides) under Arabidopsis thaliana (thale cress). The record is from RNAcentral. Lineage: Eukaryota; Viridiplantae; Streptophyta; Magnoliopsida; Brassicales; Brassicaceae.